Molecule: ribosomal RNA, 603 nt
Filed under: bacterium
Lineage: Bacteria
Description: partial 23S ribosomal RNA
Rfam family: Bacterial large subunit ribosomal RNA
Source: RNAcentral
AAUAGCUCACUGGUCGAAGGUGUCGCGGCGCCGACAAUCCACCGGGGCUCAAGUCUGGCGCCGAAGCCGCGGAUUCCGUUGUUAGACGGAGUGGUAGGGGAGCGUCCCGUUCAGCAGAGAAGGAGGAGCGGAAGCGAAUCUGGAGCGAGCGGGAGUGCGAAUGUUGGCAUGAGUAGCGAGAGGGAAGUGCGAAUCUUCCCCACCGAAUGCCCCAGGGUUCCGCAGCCAUGCUGAUCAGCUGCGGGUGAGUCGGGCCUAAGCCGAGGCCGAAAGGCGUAGGUGAUGGACAACUGGUUCAGAUUCCAGUACCGCUCGUUGUUGUUUGAGCGAUGGGGGGACGCAGGAGGAUAGGUUCGGGGCCGCGAGGCCUCCAAGCAUGUAGGGAGCGACCAUAGGCAAAUCCGUGGUUGCGGUGACCGAGGUGUGAUGGGAAGGAGCGGGCUACGGCCCAACCCGAACGGAUUGAGUCCAUACUGCCAAGAAAAGCCUCUAGUGAGACAACGAGCGCCCGUACCGCAAACCGACACAGGUGGGCAGGUAGAGCAUACCAAGGUGGACGAGAGAACCUCCGUCAAGGAACUCGGCAAAUUAGCCCCGUAACUU